RNAcentral lists this ribosomal RNA (262 nucleotides) under uncultured archaeon. Its description in RNAcentral is "partial 16S ribosomal RNA". It matches the Rfam family "Archaeal small subunit ribosomal RNA", at positions 748 to 1009 of the family's 1478-position model. The record is from RNAcentral.
UAGCCGUAAACGAUACUCGCUAGGUGUCGGCCACGGUGCGACCGUUGUCGGUGCCGUAGGGAAGCCGUGAAGCGAGCCACCUGGGAAGUACGGCCGCAAGGCUGAAACUUAAAGGAAUUGGCGGGGGGAGCACCACAACGGGUGGAGCUUGCGGUUUAAUUGGAUUCAACGCCGGAAAUCUUACCGGGACCGACAGCAACAUGAAGGCCAAGCUGAAGACUUUGCCGGAUUAGCUGAGAGGUGGUGCAUGGCGUAGUCGUGU